Molecule: long non-coding RNA, 604 nt
Organism: Budorcas taxicolor (takin)
Lineage: Eukaryota; Metazoa; Chordata; Mammalia; Artiodactyla; Bovidae
Exons: 3
Source: RefSeq, a predicted model, not a curated record
AGCCCGCUUGCGGCACCUCGGUGGCGGCCUCCACCUUCCUCGCGUUGCUGAAGGGUCUUGCACUAGCUUCCGGACCUUGAGAGGUCCCAAAGCAGGGAAACAUCAGGGGCCAGGGCUGCAAAUACCCUUGGGACCUUUGUCCAAGAGACAGGCUCUUCCCUUUCAGGAGUCUUAUGGCCUCUAGCCUGCUUUUAAACUGUUCUUUUUACCCCUGUUAUCCCCUCCUCCCGGCUCUCAACUCAGUACCUCUCUGGCCUUAAGGAGAGGAAACACGCAAGAUGAGGUACGCAAACGAGUGUUGGAUAACCAGAUGAGAAAACAGGUCAGAAAGGUAAACUGAGAAGCCUGUUUUGGAAGAGAAGUGCAAGUGUGUGAUAUCCAGGCACUGACCUCAAAAGCACUCCCUGAUAAGCUAUGUAUGUUAUCAUUACUGGGGAACUCAGCCUAUGAUGAAACCUAAAGCAAGAGGAGAGCUUUUUCUCAACCCUCUAGAAAUCCAAGCUUCUUUUUAAAUGUCUCUGGUCCAUAGAUAAUACAAUUGUGAGUGACUUCUGUUUACCUGGAGUCACCUCUUCAAGCAUUAACCUUGGUGCUCCACAUGAGA